GAGGAAGAGAAAACAAUAGUGAUUCCGUCAGUAGCGGCGAGCGAACGCGGAGAAGCCCAAACCAGAGAGCUUGCUCUCUGGGGUUGUGGGACGUCUCACAUGGAGUUACAAAGGAACCGGUUAAGUGAAGAGGUCUGGAAAGGCCCGCCAAAGAAGGUAAAAGCCCUGUAGUUGAAAGUCUGUUCCCUCCGAGACGGAUCCCGAGUAGUGCGGGGCACGUGAAACCCCGUAUGAAUCCGGCAGGACCAUCUGCCAAGGCUAAAUACUUCCUAGCGACCGAUAGUGAAGCAGUACCGUGAGGGAAAGGUGAAAAGCACCCCGGAAGGGGAGUGAAAUAGAACCUGAAACCGUGUGCUUACAAAAAGUCAGAGCCCGUUUUAGGGGUGAUGGCGUGCCUUUUGUAGAAUGAACCGGCGAGUUACGUUCCCGUGCAAGGUUAAGGUGAAGAGCCGGAGCCGCAGCGAAAGCGAGUCUGAAUAGGGCGACAUAGUACGUGGACGUAGACCCGAAACCGGGUGAUCUACCCCUGUCCAGGGUGAAGGUGCGGUAACACGCACUGGAGGCC
Molecule: ribosomal RNA, 565 nt
Rfam family: Bacterial large subunit ribosomal RNA